RNAcentral lists this unclassified non-coding RNA (328 nucleotides) under soil metagenome. RNAcentral describes it as "partial contains 5.8S ribosomal RNA, internal transcribed spacer 2, and large subunit ribosomal RNA". The stretch from base 1 to 120 matches the Rfam family "5.8S ribosomal RNA", at positions 35 to 154 of the family's 154-position model. The record is from RNAcentral.
GAUGAAGAACGUAGCGAAAUGCGAUAAGUAAUGUGAAUUGCAGAAUUCAGUGAAUCAUCGAAUCUUUGAACGCACAUUGCGCCCCUUGGUAUUCCGAGGGGCAUGCCUGUUCGAGCGUCAUUAUAACCCUCAAGCUCAGCUUGGUGUUGGGGCCUGCUGCACUGGCAGCCCUUAAAAUCAGUGGCGGCGCCAUCUGGCUCUAAGCGUAGUAAUUCUUCUCGCUAUGGAGUCCUGGUGGAUGCUUGCCAUCAACCCCCAAUUUUUCUAUGGUUGACCUCGGAUCAGGUAGGGAUACCCGCUGAACUUAAGCAUAUCAAUAAGCGGAGGU